GUUCGACUGGCGCACGGGUGAGUAACACGUGGGUAACCCACCCUUGAGACCGGGAUACCCUCUCGAAAGGGAGGCUAAUACUGGAUACGUUCCCCGGGACGCAAGAUCUGGGGAGGAAAGGUGGCGAAAGCUGCCGCUCUUGGAGGGGCUCGCGGCCUAUCAGCUAGUUGGUGAGGUAAUGGCUCACCAAGGCUAUGACGGGUAGCUGGUCUGAGAGGACGACCAGCCACACGGGAACUGAGACACGGUCCCGACUCCUACGGGAGGCAGCAGUGGG
Molecule: ribosomal RNA, 277 nt
Filed under: uncultured bacterium
Lineage: Bacteria
Description: partial 16S ribosomal RNA
Rfam family: Bacterial small subunit ribosomal RNA
Source: RNAcentral